Molecule: ribosomal RNA, 292 nt
Filed under: uncultured Aquabacterium sp.
Lineage: Bacteria; Pseudomonadati; Pseudomonadota; Betaproteobacteria; Burkholderiales; Sphaerotilaceae
Description: partial 16S ribosomal RNA
Rfam family: Bacterial small subunit ribosomal RNA
Source: RNAcentral
GUCCGCAACGAGCGCAACCCUUGUCAUUAGUUGCUACGCAAGAGCACUCUAAUGAGACUGCCGGUGGACAAACCGGAGGAAGGUGGGGAUGACGUCAGGUCCUCAUGGCCCUUAUGGGUAGGGCUACACACGUCAUACAAUGGCCGGUGCAGAGGGCUGCCAACCCGCGAGGGGGAGCCAAUCCCAGAAAACCGGUCGUAGUCCGGAUCGUAGUCUGCAACUCGACUGCGUGAAGUCGGAAUCGCUAGUAAUCGCGGAUCAGCUUGCCGCGGUGAAUACGUUCCCGGGUCUU